This 253-nucleotide ribosomal RNA is filed under the name uncultured prokaryote. RNAcentral describes it as "partial 16S ribosomal RNA". It matches the Rfam family "Bacterial small subunit ribosomal RNA", at positions 524 to 776 of the family's 1533-position model. The record is from RNAcentral.
CACGGGGGGAGCAAGCGUUGUUCGGAAUCACUGGGCGUAAAGCGCGUGUAGGCGGUUAGGUAAGUGGGAUGUGAAAUACUCCGGCUCACCCGGAGAACUGCAUCCCAAACUGCCUAGCUUGAGUAUGGGAGAGGAUGAGGGAAUUUCUGGUGUAGCGGUGAAAUGCGUAGAUAUCAGAAGGAACAUCAGUGGCGAAAGCGGCUUCCUGGUCCAGUACCGACGUUCAGGCACGAAAGCGUGGGGAGCAAACAGG